This 1372-nucleotide ribosomal RNA is filed under the name uncultured bacterium. RNAcentral's name for it is "16S ribosomal RNA". It matches the Rfam family "Bacterial small subunit ribosomal RNA", at positions 28 to 1395 of the family's 1533-position model. The record is from RNAcentral.
GUUGAACGCUAGCUACAGGCUUAACACAUGCAAGUCGAGGGGCAGCAUGGUCUUAGCUUGCUAAGGCCGAUGGCGACCGGCGCACGGGUGAGUAACACGUAUCCAACCUGCCGUCUACUCUUGGACAGCCUUCUGAAAGGAAGAUUAAUACAAGAUGGCAUCAUGAGUCCGCAUGUUCACAUGAUUAAAGGUAUUCCGGUAGACGAUGGGGAUGCGUUCCAUUAGAUAGUAGGCGGGGUAACGGCCCACCUAGUCUUCGAUGGAUAGGGGUUCUGAGAGGAAGGUCCCCCACAUUGGAACUGAGACACGGUCCAAACUCCUACGGGAGGCAGCAGUGAGGAAUAUUGGUCAAUGGGCGAGAGCCUGAACCAGCCAAGUAGCGUGAAGGAUGACUGCCCUAUGGGUUGUAAACUUCUUUUAUAAAGGAAUAAAGUCGGGUAUGCAUACCCGUUUGCAUGUACUUUAUGAAUAAGGAUCGGCUAACUCCGUGCCAGCAGCCGCGGUAAUACGGAGGAUCCGAGCGUUAUCCGGAUUUAUUGGGUUUAAAGGGAGCGUAGAUGGAUGUUUAAGUCAGUUGUGAAAGUUUGCGGCUCAACCGUANAAUUGCAGUUGAUACUGGAUAUCUUGAGUGCAGUUGAGGCAGGCGGAAUUCGUGGUGUAGCGGUGAAAUGCUUAGAUAUCACGAAGAACUCCGAUUGCGAAAGCAGCCUGCUAAGCUGCAACUGACAUUGAGGCUCGAAAGUGUGGGUAUCAAACAGGAUUAGAUACCCUGGUAGUCUACACGGUAAACGAUGAAUACUCGCUGGUUGCGAUAUACAGCAAGCGGGCCAGCGAAAGCGUUAAGUAUUCCACCUGGGGAAUACGCCGGCAACGGUGAAACUCAAAGGAAUUGACGGGGCCCCGCACAAGCGGAGGAACAUGUGGUUUAAUUCGAUGAUACGCGAGGAACCUUACCCGGGCUUAAAUUGCAGAUGAAUUACGGUGAAAGCCGUAAGCCGCAAGGCAUCUGUGAAGGUGCUGCAUGGUUGUCGUCAGCUCGUGCCGUGAGGUGUCGGCUUAAGUGCCAUAACGAGCGCAACCCUUGUUGUCAGUUACUAACAGGUUCCGCUGAGGACUCUGACAAGACUGCCAUCGUAAGAUGUGAGGAAGGUGGGGAUGACGUCAAAUCAGCACGGCCCUUACGUCCGGGGCUACACACGUGUUACAAUGGGGGGUACAGAGGGCCGCUACCACGCGAGUGGAUGCCAAUCCCCAAAACCUCUCUCAGUUCGGACUGGAGUCUGCAACCCGACUCCACGAAGCUGGAUUCGCUAGUAAUCGCGCAUCAGCCACGGCGCGGUGAAUACGUUCCCGGGCCUUGUACACACCGCCC